GAUCGUAUCGUCCAGUGGUUAAGACACCACAUUGUGGAUCAAGCCAGCUUUGCACUGGCCAACUUCGCUGUGGAGACCCGCGUUCAAUUCGCGGUACGGUCA
Non-coding RNA from Rhodotorula graminis WP1, 102 nucleotides. Lineage: Eukaryota; Fungi; Basidiomycota; Microbotryomycetes; Sporidiobolales; Sporidiobolaceae. The record is from the annotation of a RefSeq genome assembly.